Molecule: long non-coding RNA, 507 nt
Organism: Sciurus carolinensis (gray squirrel)
Lineage: Eukaryota; Metazoa; Chordata; Mammalia; Rodentia; Sciuridae
Exons: 4
Source: RefSeq, a predicted model, not a curated record
AGCCUCAUCCCAGCCAGUUCCCCUGGCCCACCCCGAGCCCUCGCGCCCCUCCCGGCGUUCACUACGUGCGACGCCCGGGUUGCCUAGCAGCGGGCCCACGUUGCCCGGCGACGCGCCCCGAGGAGUUUUGAAUUGUUCGGGUGAGACACAUCUUCAUUGUUACCACCACCACUAGGCCAUCACUAGGGACCAAGAUUUUGGCACUAGGAAUCAUACAGAUGGAAGUGGGAAAAAGCUAUAGCUAAGAACUAAGGAACCCCUGGGAACACAGAGGAGGAAGAUGAAGAGGCAAAGGAAGAAUAAAUGGAAGUUUCAACAGAAGGAGAUGGAAAACCAAGAAUCCAAGGUGGGGGAAUGAUGGUCCUGGACUCUCUGAAGACUCUGGCCCCUAAGUGCUGUCCGGAGGCAUCUGUGCACGUGCUCUGGCCACUCACCUGAGAAGGCUCGUGGUGAGGCAGCACUUCAUAGCAGAGGCACGUGGAAGAUGAAGGCUACUCCCCUCACGGU